Molecule: long non-coding RNA, 457 nt
Organism: Xiphophorus maculatus (southern platyfish)
Lineage: Eukaryota; Metazoa; Chordata; Actinopteri; Cyprinodontiformes; Poeciliidae
Exons: 3
Source: RefSeq, a predicted model, not a curated record
CUCAGGAGCAGAGCGCCUUGCUGCUGCUGCUGCUGCUGCUGCGGGGCCAAACAUCUGGACGGCGAGAAGGAAAGGAAGUAACAAAGAGGAGCAGAGAAGACGAGAGUGGGUGAAAAAAGGAGGGAUGAGGUGAGGUCAGGAGGAAGAAAGCAGCCAUGUUUAUCUUGGAGACUCUCGUGGAGGAGGGAGCCGGUAUCGCUGGACGAAGGUUCACGCUCAGCGCUUUGUCUUCAUUAGAGGAGUCCCGUAAAAACCCGGCCAACUCCUGUUUGCUCUGCAAUUCAUGGGAUAAGCUGGAGCUCAUAAAAAAAAAAGAAAAGCUCAGAGGGCACACGGAGGUCCUGCGCUCUGUAAAAAAGACUUGGUAGCGGCAGAGAGCCACAGACCCCACAGUGGCCCCCACCGUGCCGCCCAUGGCCCCCCCAACGAACAGGCCCACCAGGGAUCCGAACAGAGC